Molecule: long non-coding RNA, 1600 nt
Filed under: Rattus norvegicus (Norway rat)
Lineage: Eukaryota; Metazoa; Chordata; Mammalia; Rodentia; Muridae
Description: long non-coding RNA NONRATT031342
Source: RNAcentral
AGGGUCUGAACCUGCAACACACUACUGGCUUCCCCAGCUCCAACGUUCUAACCUGUUAACCAGCCUUGUUGAAGGGUCAAUGGAAGGUGGUUUCCUUCACACCAAGCAGCAGGAUGUAAAUGUUUGUUUAAGCAGCUGAGACUUGGCCCUGCUUAAUGCCACAGAUCACAUGAGAUGAGUUCAUUCAGAGUGUGGGGAUCGCGGUGAGGGUUAGAGUCAUGACAUGAAGUUUAGAGAUGUGGGAGUUUUGGAGGAACUAAAAACAGACGCACUCGUGACUGAAGAGAACGGUGAAAAUAUGAACGAGGGAACAAAAACGCCCAGAAUUCAAGCAUGCAAUGGUUUUAAGCAAGGACAUUCAGACAAUGAUGCCCCAAUACGUAUUUUGGAUCUCAACCUACGUGUUAGAGAGCUGGGAAUGCAAGGAGCAACUUCCCCAGGAGUUCUCUUCCCUGCACAAAUAGCAGAUCUGUCAAGGAAGAAGCUGCCGUUGGUCCUCCUAUUGAAGCUCAAUUUACCAAGCAAGAUGAAAUAUAAACCAUACAAGAAGAGAAUGAAAAUCAAACAGAAUAUCCAGGGCCUGGAGGGUGAGUAAAUUCUUCCUUCUGCGACUUGCUUUCUGAUCAUGGUAUUUCAUCAUGACCAUAAAAAAAUAUUACCCAAGAUAGAUCGAUCAACUGAUCAGAUGAGAGACAAAUAGAUGAGAGAUAGAUAGAUAAAUAGCUGACAGAUAGAUGAUAGAUAGAUAGAUAGAUAGAUAAAUAGAUAGAUAGAUAGAGUGAGUGAGAUAGUGAGAUGGAUGGGUGGAUAGAUAGAUAGCUAGAUCGAUGGAUGAAUGGAUAGAUAGAUAGAUAGAUAGAUAGAUAGAUAGAUAGAUAGAUAGAUAGACGGAUGAAUGGAUAGAUAGAUGGAUGGAUGGAUAGAUAGAUAGAUAGAUAGAUAGAUAGAUAGAUAGAUAGAUAGAUAGAUAGAAAAGAUACAUCCACCCACAAUAAUCUGGGCUCUGUAGACAGGUUCAUAAAUUUCUUAUGUAGAUGAUAGAGGAUCAAAGAAGUUGGAAAGUAUCUUAUAAAGCAAUUUAAACCUCUGGCAAAGUUCAAAAGUUAAAAUGAAACCUGUUUUUCUCUUUCCAGGUCUAGGCAAAGUGUUCCCUGAUUUGGGAACUGGCUCCUAGCCAGAGUCUGCUAUUGUGUAUCACCUAACAAGUGCCCAGGCCUGUCACUGUGACUCACAUUGGCAUCUGUCAGCACCCUGUGUCCCUUACAUCAUUCAUAACCAACAGAUGUCCUUGUGGUUUCACGCUGUCCCAGCCCAAUUCUUAGUAAAACCACUUGCAAUUGACACUGGCGCUGAAUGGUGAGAAGAAGUCAGAACAGAACACAAACAAACCAGCAUCAAGGUUGAACUGAUGCUCUCACUAGCCGAUGAAGAGAAAAUCUUGAUAUGGCGUUCUCCUUGUAUGACUUCCAAAACUGUUGGAAAUAGUCGUGAUUUAUUUCUGGAAAGGCAUAGAAAGGCUCCGGAUGCCUUGUGGAGUCAGGAAGACGGGGUGCCUACAAGUUCUGGUUAUUAGGAGACAGUAGAAAUCUAAGAGGAGGAG